GACGAACGCUGGCGGCGUGCUUAACACAUGCAAGUCGAACGGAAAGGCGCUGGAUGUAGGGUACCUGAGUGGCCAACGGGCGAGUAAGACGAGGGUGGUCUGCCUUGCUCUUAGGGAUGAGCCAGGGACACUAGGUGGAGUACCAGACCGGAGAAAUUUUUAGGGUGAAGGUUGGAAAGUUUAGUAGGUGUAUGAUGCGCUCUGGGCCUAUCAGCUUGUAAGUGGGGUAUUGGGCUACCAAGGCGGAGACGGGUAGCCGACCUGAGAGGGUGGACGACCACAUUAGGACUGAGAGACGGCCCAGACUGGUACGUUAGGCAACAGGGGGGAAUAUUACACAAUGAGCGCGAGCGUGAUGCAACGACGCCUCGUGGGGGAAAACUGCCUUCGGGUGGAAAACUCCUUUCGCUAGGGACAAAGCAUUUUGUGACGGUACCUAAAUAAAAAGCGACGGCUAACUACGUG
Molecule: ribosomal RNA, 465 nt
Filed under: uncultured bacterium
Lineage: Bacteria
Description: partial 16S ribosomal RNA
Rfam family: Bacterial small subunit ribosomal RNA
Source: RNAcentral